UGGCUUCUAACACCUAGGUGUCAUAAUGAUUUUGAUUUUGUAGCUGUUGCAUUUCCUCCUCUUGGAAAAUUCGAGGUCCCUGAUUUGUCCUUCUAACUUACCUAUUUUGGCCCUGUAGUUUUCUUCAUUUGCCAACCAUCCCCACUGCUCUUGUGAGUAGUUAGUGAAUUGUUGAACGUGGGCUCAGUUAGCAUGUCUUUCAGGAAUCUGAAACCUUUUAUCGAACCAAACAAUAUAUUUCGGGUCUACCUCACCUCUAGCUAGAUCCCGCACCAUAGUCUUAGGUUUAAGAAAUCUGCAUUCAGUCCACACCUGGAGAAUUCUUCCUGCUGCAAAUACAACAUUUGGGCCCAAUUCGACAUCAUGUCUACUCAAAUCUCUGUCAUGGGGAAUGGUUUGAAAUCUACCCUGUUGGUGCAAAACCCUGUGAGGAGCAUAUGGUUGGAUACUACGGAUGCCCAUUAGGAGAAGAUAACACACUUAGGCUGGCAUGUAUACUGCAUCUGUGACAGGAAUACAUCCAAAUGCCCACUCAAUUCUAUCUACACUCAAACAGCUCUUUAACUUGAGCACGAACGGUUCAAAACAAAUGGGGA
This 596-nucleotide long non-coding RNA is filed under the name Nicotiana benthamiana. Its description in RNAcentral is "long non-coding RNA (NBEN_LNC021467)". The record is from RNAcentral. Lineage: Eukaryota; Viridiplantae; Streptophyta; Magnoliopsida; Solanales; Solanaceae.